This 262-nucleotide ribosomal RNA is filed under the name uncultured bacterium. Its description in RNAcentral is "partial 16S ribosomal RNA". It matches the Rfam family "Bacterial small subunit ribosomal RNA", at positions 793 to 1055 of the family's 1533-position model. The record is from RNAcentral.
GUCCACGCCGUAACUAUGGAAGCUAGCCGUCUGACAGCUUGCUGUUAGGUGGCGCAGCUAACGCAUUAAGCUUCCCGCCUGGGAGUACGGUCGCAAGAUUAAACUCAAAGGAAUUGACGGGGCCCGCACAAGCGGUGGAGCAUGUGGUUUAAUUCGAAGCAACGCGCAGAACCUUACCUACCCUUGACAUGUCCAGUAUGGCCACCAGAGAUGGAGGCCUUCAGUUCGGCUGGCUGGAACACAGGUGCUGCAUGGCUGUCGU